ACUGUGUGUUGUUGGGUAGGGGAGCGUUCUGUAAGCCUGUGAAGGUGGCCUGUGAGGGUUGCUGGAGGUAUCAGAAGUGCGAAUGCUGACAUAAGUAACGAUAAAGCGGGUGAAAAGCCCGCUCGCCGGAAGACCAAGGGUUCCUGUCCAACGUUAAUCGGGGCAGGGUGAGUCGACCCCUAAGGCGAGGCCGAAAGGCGUAGUCGAUGGGAAACGGGUUAAUAUUCCCGUACUUGGUGUUACUGCGAAGGGGGGACGGAGAAGGCUAUGUUGGCCGGGCGACGGUUGUCCCGGUUUAAGCGUGUAGGUGUGUGUUCCAGGUAAAUCCGGUUCACUUUAACACUGAGGCGUGACGACGAGGCACUACGGUGCUGAAGCAACAAAUGCCCUGCUUCCAGGAAAAGCCUCUAAGCAUCAGGUAACAUCAAAUCGUACCCCAAACCGACACAGGUGGUCAGGUAGAGAAUACCAAGGCGCUUGAGAGAACUCGGGUGAAGGAACUAGGCAAAAUGGUGCCGUAACUUCGGGAGAAGGCACGCUGACACGUAGGUGAAGUGAUUUACUCAUGGAGCUGAAGUCAGUCGAAGAUACCAGCUGGCUGCAACUGUUUAUUAAAAACACAGCACUGUGCAAACACGAAAGUGGACGUAUACGGUGUGACGCCUGCCCGGUGCCGGAAGGUUAAUUGAUGGGGUCAGCGCAAGCGAAGCUCCUGAUCGAAGCCCCGGUAAACGGCGGCCGUAACUAUAACGGUCCUAAGGUAGCGAAAUUCCUUGUCGGGUAAGUUCCGACCUGCACGAAUGGCGUAAUGAUGGCCAGGCUGUCUCCACCCGAGACUCAGUGAAAUUGAACUCGCUGUGAAGAUGCAGUGUACCCGCGGCAAGACGGAAAGACCCCGUGAACCUUUACUAUAGCUUGACACUGAACAUUGAGCCUUGAUGUGUAGGAUAGGUGGGAGGCUUUGAAGUGUGGACGCCAGUCUGCAUGGAGCCGACCUUGAAAUACCACCCUUUAAUGUUUGAUGUUCUAACGUGGACCCGUAAUCCGGGUUGCGGACAGUGUCUGGUGGGUAGUUUGACUGGGGCGGUCUCCUCCUAAAGAGUAACGGAGGAGCACGAAGGUUGGCUAAUCCUGGUCGGACAUCAGGAGGUUAGUGCAAUGGCAUAAGCCAGCUUGACUGCGAGCGUGACGGCGCGAGCAGGUGCGAAAGCAGGUCAUAGUGAUCCGGUGGUUCUGAAUGGAAGGGCCAUCGCUCAACGGAUAAAAGGUACUCCGGGGAUAACAGGCUGAUACCGCCCAAGAGUUCAUAUCGACGGCGGUGUUUGGCACCUCGAUGUCGGCUCAUCACAUCCUGGGGCUGAAGUAGGUCCCAAGGGUAUGGCUGUUCGCCAUUUAAAGUGGUACGCGAGCUGGGUUUAGAACGUCGUGAGACAGUUCGGUCCCUAUCUGCCGUGGGCGCUGGAGAACUGAGGGGGGCUGCUCCUAGUACGAGAGGACCGGAGUGGACGCAUCACUGGUGUUCGGGUUGUCAUGCCAAUGGCACUGCCCGGUAGCUAAAUGCGGAAGAGAUAAGUGCUGAAAGCAUCUAAGCACGAAACUUGCCCCGAGA
This 1609-nucleotide ribosomal RNA is filed under the name Salmonella enterica subsp. enterica serovar Virchow. RNAcentral's name for it is "partial 23S ribosomal RNA". It matches the Rfam family "Bacterial large subunit ribosomal RNA", at positions 1213 to 2804 of the family's 2925-position model. The record is from RNAcentral. Lineage: Bacteria; Pseudomonadati; Pseudomonadota; Gammaproteobacteria; Enterobacterales; Enterobacteriaceae.